UCCGUAGGGGGAACCUGCGGAGGGAUCAUUACAAGUGACCCCGGUCUAACCACCGGGAUGUUCAUAACCCUUUGUUGUCCGACUCUGUUGCCUCCGGGGCGACCCUGCCUUCGGGCGGGGGCUCCGGGUGGACACUUCAAACUCUUGCGUAACUUUGCAGUCUGAGUAAACUUAAUUAAUAAAUUAAAACUUUUAACAACGGAUCUCUUGGUUCUGGCAUCGAUGAAGAACGCAGCGAAAUGCGAUAAGUAAUGUGAAUUGCAGAAUUCAGUGAAUCAUCGAAUCUUUGAACGCACAUUGCGCCCCCUGGUAUUCCGGGGGGCAUGCCUGUUCGAGCGUCAUUUCACCACUCAAGCCUCGCUUGGUAUUGGGCAACGCGGUCCGCCGCGUGCCUCAAAUCGACCGGCUGGGUCUUCUGUCCCCUAAGCGUUGUGGAAACUAUUCGCUAAAGGGUGCUCGGGAGGCUACGCCGUAAAACAAACCCAUUUCUAAGGUGACCUCGGAUCAGGUAGGGAUACCCGCUGAACUUAAGCAUAUCAACAGGCCGGAGGA
Molecule: ribosomal RNA, 552 nt
Filed under: Cladosporium oxysporum
Lineage: Eukaryota; Fungi; Ascomycota; Dothideomycetes; Cladosporiales; Cladosporiaceae
Description: eukaryotic LSU rRNA
Rfam family: 5.8S ribosomal RNA (bases 188-341)
Source: RNAcentral